UGUCCAUGCCCUUCUUGGGCGUUUCCUCCCUAGACUUCCACCGCGUUGUGCAAGCAGCGCGGUUUUUUUUGAGGAAU
Molecule: small RNA, 77 nt
Filed under: Pseudaminobacter salicylatoxidans
Lineage: Bacteria; Pseudomonadati; Pseudomonadota; Alphaproteobacteria; Hyphomicrobiales; Phyllobacteriaceae
Description: Makes More Granules Regulator RNA (mmgR)
Rfam family: Makes More Granules Regulator RNA (mmgR)
About the family: SuhB later renamed mmgR (makes more granules regulator) was a putative non-coding RNA found multiple times in the Agrobacterium tumefaciens genome and related alpha-proteobacteria. Other non-coding RNAs uncovered in the same analysis include: speF, ybhL, metA, and serC.
Source: Rfam by way of RNAcentral